This 2175-nucleotide long non-coding RNA is filed under the name Bemisia tabaci. RNAcentral's name for it is "lncRNA ENSSSA1NGG013828". Lineage: Eukaryota; Metazoa; Arthropoda; Insecta; Hemiptera; Aleyrodidae. The record is from RNAcentral.
AGCACAGAACUUACUAGUGAUGACAAAAAACUUGGCCAUGAAAAGAUAGAAGAUUCCUCUCUCGCGGAAGUAAUCAAUAAACCGCAAGAAUUGCACUCAUGCCCAGUUAAGCAAACUAGUCCUUCAAAAUCUGAAAAAAUCAAUGAUGCACCGAAAGAUUUAGCUCAGUCAGAGGCACAGCAAACAAGUAUCAGUUAUCCGAAAACUGAAGCAGUUCAGCCUACUGAAAAUUUGGGAAGCGCAAAAACCGGACUGUUCGAACAAUCCCUUGAUUUAGACCCCGAGACAGUUCGAUCUCUAGAAUUGUUCAAAGCGUCAAAAAAAAGUCAGCUGAAAGUGAUCGACUUUCUUUAGAUUCGGAGAAACAGGAGACAUUCUUAGAUACGUUAGCAGAACCAGACGAAUUCAGUGCAAGCUGGAACAGUGAAGCUGGUCCAGCCACAGCAGCAGAAGAAAUUUUCUGUGAUCCUGCAUCAUUUGAUUUUCUGGUACAGAGGGGCAACAAUAACAUAAGUUCUAAUCUGUACAAAAAGUCCUUGUUCGUACGAUUCGAUCCAUUAGUCAACGCUCAAUCUCCAACUCAAAUAGAGAGACAUCUAACCGCAUCUUUAAAAAUGGCCGAUAAUAAUUGUAGUGAAGAAAUUCAAAAAUCCCAGUCGAAGAAAAGUCCAAGUCCAGUCAGGACGCCCCUGAAAAAUCCAGCUCUGGAGGCUGUCGGGAAACUGAUAGAAGCCUCGCCAAGUGUACCCGGAGUUGAUUCCUCAGCGUUGGAAGCGGAUUUGGCAAAACUGCGCGAACUUUUAGUUCAACAAGAAAAGGAAUACAAAGUAAGCUUGUUUUAAAAAAAAUUGAACAGAUACUUUUGGAAUUUAAUUUAUCCAAUAAGUGCUUGCUAAAAUCUAUAAACAUUUAAAACAUAUUUCUAAUGGAUGGUUUUGAAUUAUGAUAUUUUUACAAUUCAGAGGUUUCUUGAUGAGAUAUAUUUCCAAAUAGUUGGAAAUUCAGCCGACUUGCAUUUUCUCUCAGAUCUAAUCAGAUUUGCCAUGCUAACAGUCCAAUUGGUUUGGGACAAGUCAGGGCAAAUAUUUGAAAAUCUUGAAUAUUAGAUGUUUAAUAUUUUUCAGAUUUUAGAUCCGAAUUUACACCUUAAACUCAAAUUCUCGUAUGUACUAUAUAAACAAAUGUUCGAAAUUUUGAGUAUUUUUGUAAGAUAUGAAAUAUUUUGCAAGAUAUCCCAUCAGAAUGCAUGCAUUAGCCCUAGUGAAAUUGUGACCUCUCUCUGCGGGUUUGGAGCGGUCUGAUCGUCCAAUUUUUCAUAAUGUCAGGGGCGGGUGACUGCAAAUCAAUAUCAGAAGAGUUUAAGAACUUCCCUAUUUUUUUCAGGGGCCCAGAAAACCUGGAAAGUAAGGGAAUUUCAUGAGAAGUGUGUCAGCAUGGCAAUCUCAGCCAGUGCCAUUCUAGAAAGAGCCAACAAUCUUUGAGUGUCUUUUGUCUUAACUUUAAUCUGUAGAAGUGGAGAUCGUGUUCAUAGUCUAGUAAAAGUUAGUGUUCUUAAAAGAGGAACAAAAGUGUAUUUACCUUCGGGAAAUACUUAAAUAAAUUUAAGUGGAGGUGUUGCUUGAAUGUCAGGGAAAGUCAGAGAAUCGAAAAAUGAAGAAACUAUGAAAAUCCUGGUAGAAUUGCACUCUAAUCCGGCAAUAUGGCAUCUUUACCAUGAUAGACUAGAAUUUUAAAUACGAAUAACAAUGAAAGAUAAUUAUCAUGUGGAGGCUGCACAAGAAAUUUCAAGAUUUAAAGAUUACUCUCUUGCAUGUAAUAAUAUAAUAAUAAUAAAAUACCUUUGUUCAAGUGAAUAAUUUUUAAAUUUUGGAUGAGAAUUUCUAAUGGCUUUUUCUGGAAAUGAUGUUUUUUGAAUUGCUAAUUUCAAAUCGCUGUUACUGUGGAUUGACAUAACAUAUCUAGUCUCAAAAUGUUUGAUGCAUACUCCUCUACUCUCUGGUAUUAAUAAUUCAUUUCAGGGGUUGGUAGAUGGAAAGCUCUCUUUUCCUGUGGAUCGUCCCAGUUUGCCAGGCUGUGAAAUAAAAUAUAGACAUUUUACAUGGGUUUAAUUAAGGAAAAGUAUCUGCCAAUGGUGGAUUGUUACAUAUGCACUUCUUAAAAAGUAAUUGAACAUUA